Molecule: ribosomal RNA, 1107 nt
Filed under: Neelus murinus
Lineage: Eukaryota; Metazoa; Arthropoda; Collembola; Neelipleona; Neelidae
Description: 16S ribosomal RNA
Rfam family: Archaeal large subunit ribosomal RNA (bases 710-1033)
Source: RNAcentral
GUAUGAAUAAAUUUUGUUGAUUAAAGCAUUAGGGAUGAGUAAUUAAUAUUUUAUGUGUAAUUAAAGUAAUUUAGGUUAAAUAUAAAUAAAGUAUAUUAUUAUUAUCUUUUGUAUUAGAGUUAUUUAAUUUUACUUCUUAUGGUUGGUCUCGAAAUUAAAAGGUCUAUUUUAUUUAUUAGGGUUAUAGUAUUCUUUAAAUUUAAAAUAGGGUUGAUAUAACUACGUUUUUAAUAAUAUCUAGUUAUAUUUUAUGAUAUUUGAGGGAUAAUCUUCAAUAGUUUUUACGGGCUAGGGCUAAGAUGAUUAAAUUUUUGGGCUUUAAGUAAGCUAUAAGUUUUGGGUUUUUUAUCUUUUAUUUAUUUUCUUUCAAAUGACUGGGGGCCUUAAAGAUGGGUUAUAAUUAAAUUGAAAUUGAUUGUGUGAUAAUGAAUAGAUGAGUAAAUGGUUUAAUGUGUUUAUGAUGAUAUUGGGAUGUUUUUUAUGAACUCGACUAGAAUUAUAAUGAAUGUUUAUCAAAAACAUUUCAUUUUUGUUUCUGUAAAAUGUAAGGCCUGCCCACUGAAUUUUAAAGGGCCGCGGUAUUAUGACCGUGCAAAGGUAGCAUAAUCAUUAGUCUUUUAAUUGAAGAAUGGAAUGAAUGGUUAAACAUUAUAAUAUUUUAUAAAAACAAGUGUUGAAUUUAAAAAUUAAGUGAAAAUUCUUAAAUUAUCUAUUUGGACGAUAAGACCCUAUAGAUCUUUAUUAAACUGAUCAUUAAAUAGAGGGUUGUAUUGGUUUAAUUUAGUUGGGGUAAUUAAUUUUAAGUUAAUAAGGAAUUUAUUAUAUAUCUUAGUUUUCGGAUGAAAAAGAUACCUUAGGGGUAACAGCGUUAUUUAAAAGUAGAGUUCUUAUCGAUUUUUAAUUUUACGACCUCGAUGUUGAAUUAAAAAUUUUUUGUGGGGUAGAUUUUAUUUAAAAUGGUCUGUUCGACCAUUAAAUUUUUACAUGAUUUGAGUUCAAAUCGGCGUGAGCCAGAUUGGUUUCUAUCCAAUAGGUUAGAUAUUAUUCUCUUAUUAGUACGAAAGGAUUGUUUGAGGUUAAGAUUUGAAAUAAUAGGAUUAAAAAUAA